Molecule: ribosomal RNA, 253 nt
Filed under: uncultured bacterium
Lineage: Bacteria
Description: partial 16S ribosomal RNA
Rfam family: Bacterial small subunit ribosomal RNA
Source: RNAcentral
GACGAACCGUGCGAACGUUGUUCGGAAUUACUGGGCGUAAAGCGCACGUAGGCGGCUUUGUAAGUUAGAGGUGAAAGCCUGGAGCUCAACUCCAGAACUGCCUUUAAGACUGCAUCGCUCGAAUCCAGGAGAGGUGAGUGGAAUUCCGAGUGUAGAGGUGAAAUUCGUAGAUAUUCGGAAGAACACCAGUGGCGAAGGCGGCUCACUGGACUGGUAUUGACGCUGAGGUGCGAAAGCGUGGGGAGCAAACAGG